This is a long non-coding RNA of Crotalus tigris (Tiger rattlesnake), 810 nucleotides long. RefSeq lists it as uncharacterized. The record is from RefSeq and is a predicted model, not a curated record. Lineage: Eukaryota; Metazoa; Chordata; Lepidosauria; Squamata; Viperidae. The transcript is spliced from 3 exons.
CUGAUAUGCUCUGGCAUAUUUCUAGAACCCUCAUAAUUUGCUACCCCACAUUAUUGAAUUGGAAGAAGAUUUAAUAAGGUAUAAUCAUAUGAGGGCAGUUAACAAAAUAUGCUUUAUAAAACAUCAUGAUGUAAACUAAUACAACUUCUAUCAGGACACAAGGGACAUGGCGGAAGCCUUGAGACUGGAGGAAAGAAAGCCAGAAUUUUCUCUAUGCAGGUCCCAUCAGGCGUCCACGUGGGCAGUGAAGGAGUCCACCUCCGUCUCCUUUUCCAGAACAUCCAUCAUAUGGCUUUAAGAGCUUCAGGCCAUGAUUCCCCAGGAGCAGGUACAGGCUCACCAAAAUCUGGCUUUGAGGACCAGAGGAAUCAAAGAUUGAUAUUGGAAACUUUAAAGCAACGAAGCUCUAAGGAUGAGAGAAAUAGACGCCUAAUGCAGAGGAUGGGAUUCCUAUUGUUUCAAACGGCACUACAAGCAAUAAAGAGAGAUCUAUUGGCUGAAAGGGAAGCUUGGUUGUGGAAACCUUCUUGGCACAGAAAAAAAGCCAGAAUAAGACUGAAAAGAGAAAUUUAAAAUUGUGUAAUGGAGUAAAGGCAACGUUGAUUUAUGGACAGUUUUAAGGAUUAAGAUUCAGAGUUAGAAGUAAGAAAAAAGGUUGAUUAUUAGAACAGAUGUUUUAAUUAGAUUAAUAAUGUACUUUUUGGAAUAAUAGGUUUAUUUUCAUGAAAAUUAUUAUUUAUUGGAAUGGAAAAAAAUGCUGGCUUUUUAGAGUUGGAUUGUUUUAAUAAUUAAUUGUUUAAAAUUAGUAAG